Molecule: long non-coding RNA, 970 nt
Organism: Acanthochromis polyacanthus (spiny chromis)
Lineage: Eukaryota; Metazoa; Chordata; Actinopteri; Pomacentridae
Exons: 2
Source: RefSeq, a predicted model, not a curated record
CCCAGCAUCAGUAAAAACAUUCCUCCGUGGCGUGUUCAUGUGGGUUCCUGUGUGUUUUAUGAGGGGGAGCAGCUGACGUAGCCGAAUGAGAUAUUUCUGGUCACAUCUACUGCUGGGGAGGCAUCAAAGCACUGAGCUUUUUGUGAAGAGCGAUGAGUGGCUCACCGUCCUCGGCGUCGUACUCCCUGCCGCUCCAUUCCUGCCCCAGCGAACGCCAUUCCACUCUGUACUUGAUAAUGGGCACUCCACCCAUGGAGACCGGCUCCUCGAACUCCACCACCGCUGUGCUGGAGAAAGGUUCCACUUGUUGGAUUUCUGGCGAUGAUGGAACCUCUGCAAGCAGAGAAAAAAAUGCACAUUAUUAUUUUUUCUAUUUUUAAAAGCGAGCACUUAGAAAAGCAAAUGAACAAAGCAAAUGUUAGCUUUACUUAAAGAAACAGGAUUUAAUAAACUGAUGGAAGGUAAGUUAUGUGAGAAGAACUUUGUAAAAUCUUCCUGACAAUUAAACUAGACUGUGUGUUCCUGUAGCAGUAGUUUCUAUUAUUCUGGUGUCCUACAUCGUCUCUCUUUCUGUAAAUCUCCAAACGUUCUGUCUUUGGAUGGCGGUCGUUUGGCUUCCAAACCGUCGGGUGACAUUUACCACAGGGUGAGUCAUUCCUCUAGAUAACCAUCAGCCACCACUGACUUCUACGACAAAGAUCCUCUCUGACAUCCAGAAGACGUCAGCAGAAAUGAUUUCAAACCUGCAGAAACACUGAACAUCUUUGUAUAAAAUUUGCAAUUAUCACCCCAAAUCACAGCUAAAGAAACUAUUUUCUGGAACUGUGAACCUUCCUGCUAGAAAAUAGACAUUUAUUCAUUUGACAAAUACUAAAUUACUUCUUACUUUCAUUAAAAUAUACUUAAAUGUAACGGACCAAUGGGUAACAGGUAGAACCAAAUAAAAUGCAAUAAAUGUGUGGGUUUUAUA